GCAAGUCGAGCGACUGAUUAGAAGCUUGCUUCUAUGACGUUAGCGGCGGACGGGUGAGUAACACGUGGGCAACCUGCCUGUAAGACUGGGAUAACUCCGGGAAACCGGAGCUAAUACCGGAUAACAUUUUCUCUUGCAUAAGAGAAAAUUGAAAGAUGGUUUCGGCUAUCACUUACAGAUGGGCCCGCGGUGCAUUAGCUAGUUGGUGAGGUAACGGCUCACCAAGGCAACGAUGCAUAGCCGACCUGAGAGGGUGAUCGGCCACACUGGGACUGAGACACGGCCCAGACUCCUACGGGAGGCAGCAGUAGGGAAUCUUCCGCAAUGGACGAAAGUCUGACGGAGCAACGCCGCGUGAGUGAUGAAGGCUUUCGGGUCGUAAAACUCUGUUGUUAGGGAAGAACAAGUACAAGAGUAACUGCUUGUACCUUGACGGUACCUAACCAGAAAGCCACGGCUAACUACGUGCCAGCAGCCGCGGUAAUACGUAGGUGGCAAGCGUUAUCCGGAAUUAUUGGGCGUAAAGCGCGCGCAGGCGGUUUCUUAAGUCUGAUGUGAAAGCCCACGGCUCAACCGUGGAGGGUCAUUGGAAACUGGGGAACUUGAGUGCAGAAGAGAAAAGCGGAAUUCCACGUGUAGCGGUGAAAUGCGUAGAGAUGUGGAGGAACACCAGUGGCGAAGGCGGCUUUUUGGUCUGUAACUGACGCUGAGGCGCGAAAG
Molecule: ribosomal RNA, 720 nt
Filed under: Bacillus sp. Z407_1
Lineage: Bacteria; Bacillati; Bacillota; Bacilli; Caryophanales; Bacillaceae
Description: bacterial SSU rRNA
Rfam family: Bacterial small subunit ribosomal RNA
Source: RNAcentral